RNAcentral lists this transfer RNA (73 nucleotides) under Ictidomys tridecemlineatus (thirteen-lined ground squirrel). RNAcentral describes it as "Spermophilus tridecemlineatus (thirteen-lined ground squirrel) tRNA". It matches the Rfam family "tRNA". From Rfam's summary of the family: Transfer RNA (tRNA) molecules are approximately 80 nucleotides in length. Their secondary structure includes four short double-helical elements and three loops (D, anti-codon, and T loops). Further hydrogen bonds mediate the characteristic L-shaped molecular structure. tRNAs have two regions of fundamental functional importance: the anti-codon, which is responsible for specific mRNA codon recognition, and the 3' end, to which the tRNAs corresponding amino acid is attached (by aminoacyl-tRNA synthetases). tRNAs cope with the degeneracy of the genetic code in two manners: having more than one tRNA (with a specific anti-codon) for a particular amino acid; and 'wobble' base-pairing, i.e. permitting non-standard base-pairing at the 3rd anti-codon position. The record is from Rfam by way of RNAcentral. Lineage: Eukaryota; Metazoa; Chordata; Mammalia; Rodentia; Sciuridae.
UGGGAUAUAGCUCAGGUGGUAGAGUGCUUGCCUCAGAUGCAUGAGGCCCUGAGUUCAAUCCCCAGUGCCACAA